CAGGCAGUCAGGAGAGGAGGAUAUUCAGGCAGUCAGGAGAGGAGGAUAUUCAGGCAGUCAGGAGAGGAGGAUAUUCAGGCAGUCAGGAGAGGAGGAUAUUCAGGCAGGAGAGGAGGAUAUUCAGGGAGGAGAUUAGGAUAUUCAGGCAGGAGAGGAGGAUAUUCAGCACCCAGUUAAGGCUACCACAUCGUUCAGGGCAUUGUGUGACCGGUGAAGUGAAGGCUACUAUAGUUCAUUAUUUGAGCGGAGAAUCCAAAUCCAAGCCAAUUCUAAAAUCUACUAUAUUAUAGAAAAUUAGCUCAGUAAAAAAUGUCUGGACAG
Molecule: long non-coding RNA, 321 nt
Organism: Oncorhynchus tshawytscha (Chinook salmon)
Lineage: Eukaryota; Metazoa; Chordata; Actinopteri; Salmoniformes; Salmonidae
Source: Ensembl